CGAGAUGGCUCGGACGCAGAAGAACAAAGCUACAGG
RNAcentral lists this small RNA (36 nucleotides) under Arabidopsis thaliana (thale cress). RNAcentral's name for it is "ATSL071390". The record is from RNAcentral. Lineage: Eukaryota; Viridiplantae; Streptophyta; Magnoliopsida; Brassicales; Brassicaceae.